This 274-nucleotide ribosomal RNA is filed under the name uncultured bacterium. RNAcentral's name for it is "partial 16S ribosomal RNA". It matches the Rfam family "Bacterial small subunit ribosomal RNA", at positions 523 to 796 of the family's 1533-position model. The record is from RNAcentral.
CUACGGAGGAUGCGAGCGUUAUCCGGAUUUAUUAGGUUUAAAGGGUGUGUAGGCGGUAUUUUAAGUCAGUGGUGAAAUCUCGGAGCUUAACUUCGAGACUGCCAUUGAUACUGGAAUACUUGAGUAUAGUUGAGGUAGGCGGAAUAUGUAAUGUAGCGGUGAAAUGCAUAGAUAUUACAUAGAACACCGAUUGCGAAGGCAGCUUACUAAACUAUUACUGACGCUGAUGCACGAAAGCGUGGGGAGCGAACAGGAUUAGAAACCCCAGUAGUCC